RNAcentral lists this transfer RNA (85 nucleotides) under Cronartium comandrae C4. Its description in RNAcentral is "tRNA-Leu (TAG) (tRNA-Leu-TAG-10-1)". The record is from RNAcentral. Lineage: Eukaryota; Fungi; Basidiomycota; Pucciniomycetes; Pucciniales; Coleosporiaceae.
GGUCAGAUAACCAAGUGGUCAAGGCAGAACACCUAGAAUGUCUCAGCUUGCACUGAGGUCCCUGGUUUGAAUCCAGGUCUGAUCU